GCGGCCGUAGCUCAGUUGGUAGAGCGUCAGCUUCCCAAGCGAGAUGUCGAGGGUUCGAGUCCCUUCGGCCGCUCCA
RNAcentral lists this transfer RNA (76 nucleotides) under Planctomycetota bacterium. RNAcentral's name for it is "tRNA-Gly". It matches the Rfam family "tRNA". Rfam says of the family: Transfer RNA (tRNA) molecules are approximately 80 nucleotides in length. Their secondary structure includes four short double-helical elements and three loops (D, anti-codon, and T loops). The record is from RNAcentral. Lineage: Bacteria; Pseudomonadati; Planctomycetota.